This 710-nucleotide ribosomal RNA is filed under the name Curtobacterium sp. RNAcentral's name for it is "bacterial SSU rRNA". It matches the Rfam family "Bacterial small subunit ribosomal RNA", at positions 33 to 747 of the family's 1533-position model. The record is from RNAcentral. Lineage: Bacteria; Bacillati; Actinomycetota; Actinomycetes; Micrococcales; Microbacteriaceae.
ACGCUGGCGGCGUGCUUAACACAUGCAAGUCGAACGAUGAUCAGGAGCUUGCUCCUGUGAUUAGUGGCGAACGGGUGAGUAACACGUGAGUAACCUGCCCCUGACUCUGGGAUAAGCGUUGGAAACGACGUCUAAUACUGGAUAUGAUCACUGGUCGCAUGGCCUGGUGGUGGAAAGAUUUUUUGGUUGGGGAUGGACUCGCGGCCUAUCAGCUUGUUGGUGAGGUAAUGGCUCACCAAGGCGACGACGGGUAGCCGGCCUGAGAGGGUGACCGGCCACACUGGGACUGAGACACGGCCCAGACUCCUACGGGAGGCAGCAGUGGGGAAUAUUGCACAAUGGGCGAAAGCCUGAUGCAGCAACGCCGCGUGAGGGAUGACGGCCUUCGGGUUGUAAACCUCUUUUAGUAGGGAAGAAGGGAGCUUCGGUUCUUGACGGUACCUGCAGAAAAAGCACCGGCUAACUACGUGCCAGCAGCCGCGGUAAUACGUAGGGUGCAAGCGUUGUCCGGAAUUAUUGGGCGUAAAGAGCUCGUAGGCGGUUUGUCGCGUCUGCUGUGAAAUCCCGAGGCUCAACCUCGGGCUUGCAGUGGGUACGGGCAGACUAGAGUGCGGUAGGGGAGAUUGGAAUUCCUGGUGUAGCGGUGGAAUGCGCAGAUAUCAGGAGGAACACCGAUGGCGAAGGCAGAUCUCUGGGCCGUAACUGACGCU